UUAAGCGUCCAUACCACGUUGAACACACCGGUUCUCGUCCGACCACCGAAGUUAAGCAACGUCGGGCGCGGUCAGUACUUGGAUGGGUGACCGCCUGGGAACACGCCGUCAUGUUGGCU
This 119-nucleotide ribosomal RNA is filed under the name Melitaea cinxia (Glanville fritillary). Lineage: Eukaryota; Metazoa; Arthropoda; Insecta; Lepidoptera; Nymphalidae. The record is from RNAcentral.